GAUGAAGAACGUAGCGAAAUGCGAUACUUGGUGUGAAUUGCAGAAUCCCGUGAACCAUCGAGUCUUUGUACGCAAGUUGCGCCCGAAGCCAUCAGGUUGAGGGCACGUCUGCCUGGGCGUCACAUAUCGUUGCCCAAUGCCUAUUGCAGUGCAAUAGGAAUUUCUAGGGCGAAUGAUGGCUUCCCGUGAGCGUUGUUGCCUCGCGGUUGGUUGAAAAUCGAGUCCUUGGUAGGGUGUGCCAUGGUAGAUGGUGGUCGAGUUAGAACGAUACCGAUCAUGUGCAUGCUCCCCAAAAUAUGGCCUCUAUGACCCACACGCGUCUUUUGACGCUCAUGACGAGACCUCAGGUCAGGCGGGGCUACCCGCUGAAUUUAAGCAUAUCAUAAGCGAGGA
RNAcentral lists this unclassified non-coding RNA (393 nucleotides) under soil metagenome. RNAcentral's name for it is "partial contains 5.8S ribosomal RNA, internal transcribed spacer 2, and large subunit ribosomal RNA". The stretch from base 1 to 122 matches the Rfam family "5.8S ribosomal RNA", at positions 35 to 154 of the family's 154-position model. The record is from RNAcentral.